This is a long non-coding RNA of Mesoplodon densirostris (Blainville's beaked whale), 638 nucleotides long. RefSeq lists it as uncharacterized. The transcript is spliced from 3 exons. Lineage: Eukaryota; Metazoa; Chordata; Mammalia; Artiodactyla; Ziphiidae. The record is from RefSeq and is a predicted model, not a curated record.
UGCCUCAUCCGUAGUCAGUUGUCCCUUGUCUGCCUACAUUUUCUGGAAAAACUGGAUACCACCCUCAGACGUAAAGCGCUGUUCUGAAUCUCUCCUCUGCGCCCACCAAGCCGAGCUCAGUGCUCCGGCUCCUCUCUCCCCAGGCCCUGCUUGGAGGCCGCUGCCAUCCGUGGUCCUGAGGCCAGCGAUGCGCGCGUGGGGAAGCCGUCCCGAGGGAGAAACAACCUUUAAUCACGUGACCGUGUGCCAUCUUAGGUGUCACCUCGAAGAGCCAAGACCCCACUACUGUAAGAGAACAUACACUUCUUUCCAAGUUCCUUGAAAAUAUUCUUGGAUUUCCCUGGUGGCACAGUGGUUAAGAAUCUGCCUGCCAAUUCAGGGGACAUGGGUUAGAGCCCUUGUCUGGGAAGAUCCCACAUGCCACGGAGCAACUAAGCCCGUGUGCCACAACUACUGAGCCUGCACUCUAGCGCCCACGAGCCACAACUACUGAACCCGUGUGCCACAACUACCGAAGCCUACGAGCCUAGAGCCCAUGCUCUGCAACAAAAGAAGCCACUGCAAUGAGAAGCCUGCACACUGCAACAAAAAGUAUCCCCUGCUUGCUGCACCUAGAGAAAGCCUGUGCACAGCAAUGA